This 429-nucleotide ribosomal RNA is filed under the name Gemmatimonadota bacterium. Its description in RNAcentral is "Gemmatimonadetes bacterium partial 16S ribosomal RNA". It matches the Rfam family "Bacterial small subunit ribosomal RNA", at positions 355 to 776 of the family's 1533-position model. Lineage: Bacteria; Pseudomonadati; Gemmatimonadota. The record is from RNAcentral.
UAGGGAAUCUUCGGCAAUGGACGAAAGUCUGACCGAGCAACGCCGCGUGAGUGAAGAAGGUUUUCGGAUCGUAAAACUCUGUUGUUAGAGAAGAACAAGGACGUUAGUAACUGAACGUCCCCUGACGGUAUCUAACCAGAAAGCCACGGCUAACUACGUGCCAGCAGCCGCGGUAAUACGUAGGAGGCAAGCGUUGUCCGGAUUUAUUGGGCGUAAAGCGAGCGCAGGCGGUUUCUUAAGUCUGAUGUGAAAGCCCCCGGCUCAACCGGGGAGGGUCGUUGGAAACUGGGGAACUUGAGUGCAGAAGAGGAGGGUGGAAUUCCAUGUGUAGCGGUGAAAUGCGUAGAUAUAUGGAGGAACACCAGUAGCGAAGGCGGCUCUCUGGUCUGUAACUGACGCUGAGGCUCGAAAGCGUGGGGAGCAAACAGG